UACAGAGGUGGCAAGCGUUGUUCGGAAUUACUGGGCGUAAAGGGCGCGUAGGCGGUCCGAUAAGUCCCGUGUGAAAGCCCCCGGCUCAACCGGGGAACGGCGCGGGAAACUAGCAGGCUUGAGUUCGGGAGAGGGAAGCGGAAUUCCGGGUGUAGCGGUGAAAUGCGCAGAUAUCCGGAGGAACACCGGUGGCGAAGGCGGCUUCCUGGACCGACACUGACGCUGAGGCGCGAAAGCUAGGGGAGCAAACGGG
This 253-nucleotide ribosomal RNA is filed under the name uncultured bacterium. Its description in RNAcentral is "partial 16S ribosomal RNA". It matches the Rfam family "Bacterial small subunit ribosomal RNA", at positions 524 to 776 of the family's 1533-position model. The record is from RNAcentral.